AAGUCGUAACAAGGUAACCGUAGGUGAACCUGCGGUUGGAUCAUUAACAUUAACGUUGCCUCGUAGGGGGUUACCCCUACGAGCGCUUUCACACCCUACCAGACGCAAGUCUGCUUGAACUUUAUGUUGACUAGCGGGUUCCAACAGCUCUCGGGCUGGACUGCAAAGUCACCCGCUGUUUAAACUUGACAAUUCUAUAGUCAUUUUUUUGUAUUUUUAAACAAAACAACUUUUGGCAACGGAUCUCUAGGCUCUU
This 256-nucleotide unclassified non-coding RNA is filed under the name fungal sp. RNAcentral's name for it is "partial internal transcribed spacer region". The stretch from base 1 to 46 matches the Rfam family "Eukaryotic small subunit ribosomal RNA", at positions 1786 to 1831 of the family's 1831-position model. The record is from RNAcentral. Lineage: Eukaryota; Fungi.